GACGAACGCUGGCGGCGUGCCUAAUACAUGCAAGUCGAACGCACUCUCGUUUAGAUUGAAGGAGUUUGCUCCUGAUUGAUAAACAUUUGAGUGAGUGGCGGACGGGUGAGUAACACGUGGGUAACCUGCCCUAAAGUGGGGGAUAACAUUUGGAAACAGAUGCUAAUACCGUAUAAAACCUAACACCGCAUGGUGUAGGGUUGAAAGAUGGUUUCGGCUAUCACUUUAGGAUGGACCCGCGGUGCAUUAGUUAGUUGGUGAGGUAAAGGCUCACCAAGACCGUGAUGCAUAGCCGACCUGAGAGGGUAAUCGGCCACACUGGGACUGAGACACGGCCCAGACUCCUACGGGAGGCAGCAGUAGGGAAUCUUCCACAAUGGACGAAAGUCUGAUGGAGCAACGCCGCGUGAGUGAAGAAGGUUUUCGGAUCGUAAAACUCUGUUGUUGGAGAAGAAUGUAUCUGAUAGUAACUGAUCAGGUAGUGACGGUAUCCAACCAGAAAGCCACGGCUAACUACGUG
RNAcentral lists this ribosomal RNA (520 nucleotides) under uncultured bacterium. RNAcentral describes it as "partial 16S ribosomal RNA". It matches the Rfam family "Bacterial small subunit ribosomal RNA", at positions 28 to 507 of the family's 1533-position model. The record is from RNAcentral.